UACGUAGGUGGCAAGCGUUGUCCGGAUUUACUGGGUGUAAAGGGCGUGUAGCCGGGUUGACAAGUCAGAUGUGAAAUCUUGCGGCUUAACCGCAGAACUGCAUUUGAAACUGUUGAUCUUGAGUACUGGAGAGGCAGACGGAAUUCCUAGUGUAGCGGUGAAAUGCGUAGAUAUUAGGAGGAACACCAGUGGCGAAGGCGGUCUGCUGGACAGCAACUGACGGUGAGGCGCGAAAGCGUGGGGAGCAAACAGG
RNAcentral lists this ribosomal RNA (253 nucleotides) under uncultured bacterium. Its description in RNAcentral is "partial 16S ribosomal RNA". It matches the Rfam family "Bacterial small subunit ribosomal RNA", at positions 524 to 776 of the family's 1533-position model. The record is from RNAcentral.